GGGGGGUAGUAGUCGCGCGCUCUGUGUUCGCUGGUCGUGCACGGUAAAAGAAAAACGCCUGGUGACGCGUAGAUUAGAAAACAAGUCAGUUCUCAAUGUGAAAAAAAACAUGCUGUAAAGGAUAUUUAUGAUGACAUAGUGAGAGGACAGCCAAUGAUGCAGAGAGCACAGGGAGAGGAGAAACACCAGGUCCAAUAGAGAGAAGAGAAGCACAGCGCGUUCUGGGGUUCAUGGCUCCUCUGUGCAAGGCAGGACCUGACGUGGAGGACAAGGAGGCCCUCUGGGCACUACUGUAAAAAGGAGACUCCACACAGAUCCAGACCUUCCUGAAAAGCAGGCAGGAUUCGAUGGAGCUCGACACUUUAAUUACCGAGCGGAAACCCCUGUUUAGCAUAACUGAGUAAUGAUAUUGACCAUGCUAAGAUAAUUAUUCCGAAACUAUAGUAGCAGUACAGGCAUAUUGUUUAUAAUUAUACAGCGCAACCAGCAUCUUACAUGUUAUGUACUUGCUUUCACUUUUUCAAUUAAUCCAAGCACUUUUUCUUGGAGAAUGUUCUAGGGUUCAAUUACAUGGGGGGAGCACCCCUAGUGGUGGAAAUUCUAAUAUGUGUAAUAAUGUUUAGUGUUAGAAUUGUAGUUUGUGUGUUAUUAGAUAUUAGUUAUUACAUUAG
This is a long non-coding RNA of Gasterosteus aculeatus aculeatus (three-spined stickleback), 671 nucleotides long. NCBI's taxonomy places the organism in Eukaryota, Metazoa, Chordata, Actinopteri, Perciformes, Gasterosteidae. The record is from Ensembl.